RNAcentral lists this ribosomal RNA (298 nucleotides) under uncultured bacterium. RNAcentral describes it as "partial 16S ribosomal RNA". It matches the Rfam family "Bacterial small subunit ribosomal RNA", at positions 334 to 629 of the family's 1533-position model. The record is from RNAcentral.
UGUACCUACGGGGCGCAGCAGUGAGGAAUAUUGGUCAAUGGGCGGAAGCCUGAACCAGCCCCUUCGCGUUCUGGAAUAAGGCCCUACGGGUCGUAAACCUCUUUUGCCGGGGAGCAAGGGCGGGGACGUGUCCCGGCCCGGAGAGUACCCGGAGAAAAAGCAUCGGCUAACUCCGUGCCAGCAGCCGCGGUAAUACGGAGGAUGCGAGCGUUAUCCGGAUUUAUUGGGUUUAAAGGGUGCGUAGGCGGGCUUUUAAGUCAGCGGUAAAAAUUCGGGGCGCAACCCCGGCCGGCCGUUG